RNAcentral lists this ribosomal RNA (253 nucleotides) under uncultured bacterium. RNAcentral's name for it is "partial 16S ribosomal RNA". It matches the Rfam family "Bacterial small subunit ribosomal RNA", at positions 524 to 776 of the family's 1533-position model. The record is from RNAcentral.
UACGUAGGGGGCAAGCGUUGUCCGGAUUUAUUGGGCGUAAAGAGCGUGUAGGCGGUCAGGUAGGUCCGUUGUGAAAACUCGAGGCUCAACCUCGAGACGCCGAUGGAAACCAUCUGACUAGAGUCCGGAAGAGGAGAGUGGAAUUCCUGGUGUAGCGGUGAAAUGCGCAGAUAUCAGGAGGAACACCUGUGGCGAAAGCGGCUCACUGGACCAUUACUGACGCUGAGGCACGAAAGCUAGGGGAGCAAACAGG